RNAcentral lists this long non-coding RNA (828 nucleotides) under Homo sapiens (human). RNAcentral describes it as "HSALNT0403810". Lineage: Eukaryota; Metazoa; Chordata; Mammalia; Primates; Hominidae. The record is from RNAcentral.
CAUUUGCAAGAAAAAUCUGAAGUUAAGUUUUGCUUAUGUUUGCAAUCAAGCAAGGUUUAGGUCACUUAAGAGGCCUAACUUGUUUUGUCUGCUCAGAGAUUCUUCAGGCCUGACCUCCACUUUAAUUUACUUGAAGAGCAUCGAAUAUGAAUCUGCAGAAUUUCAGUGAAACUAUAGAGGAAGAAUGGAGGAGGUGGAGCUGAGGCAGUAAUGCGAGUGAUGGGGAGCAGCUGUAAAUACAGAUGAAGCUUGGCUCGCUUGCCUGCUGCUCAGCUCCUGCUGUGCGGGCUGGUUCCUAACGAGCAAGAAGAAACCUGGAGGACACUUUGGUUUCAUCAAGCAACACUUGCCACCAGGAAGGCGUUGAGUGCCAAUUCCACACCCAAUACCCCCAGGUGGUCAAGGGGUUUGAAGGCACGACUAUUCAUAUGAUUUGGGAGAGGUUGCUGAAUCUCCAGGAGAUACCCUUGUGAGCUUCAGACUGGGGUCUGUGUCUGGGACUGGAAGACCCCAGGACAUUGGAGAGAGGAGCAAAGCCUAGAGCAUGAGCCCCAGAAGACGCCACUGUGCCGGUGCACCACCUGGGGACUUUGGCUUAUGUGGAUUCUGUUUCAGUAGAUCUGGGUGGGAUCGAGAUCUUUUAUUUCCAACCAACACCCACGUCCCAGGACCUCACUGGAAAGAGGCGGGCGGGCGCGGGGAGCCUUCCUGAGGUUCCUGGUUCUCAAGAGCCGGGUGUAAGGAAGGAAAAUCAAAGAUUGAAUUUAGAUGUAUGUAUUGGAGGGGAAUAUUGGAGGAAGGGGGAGCAGGGGAGCACGCCCAGCCUCC